RNAcentral lists this small nucleolar RNA (58 nucleotides) under Erinaceus europaeus (western European hedgehog). RNAcentral's name for it is "Small nucleolar RNA SNORA61 (ENSEEUG00000020948.1)". The record is from RNAcentral. Lineage: Eukaryota; Metazoa; Chordata; Mammalia; Eulipotyphla; Erinaceidae.
CCUCUGGUUCCCUGUCCUAUCAGAUCUGAAUGUUGGUCUUGGUAAUCAUAACAGGAGG